GCCUUCAUGGUGUAGUGGUCAACAAGCUCGGUGCGUAACCGAGAAGUUCGUGGUUCGAUUCCCGGCGAAGGCG
This 73-nucleotide transfer RNA is filed under the name Stegodyphus mimosarum. It matches the Rfam family "tRNA". Rfam says of the family: Transfer RNA (tRNA) molecules are approximately 80 nucleotides in length. Their secondary structure includes four short double-helical elements and three loops (D, anti-codon, and T loops). Lineage: Eukaryota; Metazoa; Arthropoda; Arachnida; Araneae; Eresidae. The record is from Rfam by way of RNAcentral.